CCGCCGAUGAAGGGAAGGGUGAGUUGUGAUAGAAGCCAGAUUCUCCAUCUCAGAGGCGGAGCAAGAAAUGCUAUCAGCUCCUUCAGACGCUGCCAGACUGUUUACCUACUUCCCUCAAAUCAGUGGGGGUAUAAGCACUAUAAGAGGUAUGUGCCACCACUGUGAGGGGUCCUGGGAUCUCGCCUGCGGUCCCAUUGGCUGCUCAUGUUCUACCUUCUGAUGGAUCACAGGGUGAUCCAGCAGUGGAGGAACCUCCUCCUCAGCAUCAGACUGAAUCGGAGUGUCCCGCCAGGAGGAUGGGCUCAAGGCCGGGCUGACAGCUGUUGCUAAAUCCUGUUCCUGGCUAUUUAUCUGGGCCUCUAAGUGCCCUGCUUGCACCUGGAGGUCCCCCACCCCCAGGUCCUGCUCCAAGCUGUGCACUUGGGCCCCCAGGUGCUCAGCUUGUCCUGGGAGGUCCCUUACCUGUGGAACUGAGCAUGUACUUCCUGCAGUGCUGUCAGAAACGCCCAUCCGACGCUGCCAGCAAAGGUGCAUUCCUUCUUGGUGCUGUGUGCUCGCACACUUGCAGGAGACCUCUCCACUGCCUCCCGCGUUUCCACUGGGGCUCAUCCAAGCAGCACCGCUGCCCCUGGGUACAGCCCGUGCUGCAGCCACAUAGCUGACCCAGGAGCCCUCAGGGGCCAAAGACCUACUCACUUCAUCCUGCCAACGUCGCAAUUGUCAGUUGCAGAAAUAAACACCCUUGUUCCAAGUCUGUCUGCAUCUGGUUAUUGGACCACGAGAACAAGCAGCUGGACCUCAUUCUGUGCAGGAAAAUGAGCACAUAGCAAGAAGGUGGCUGUCUACAAGCCAGGAAUAGAGCCCUUUCCAGAAUUCGAUCAUGCUGCCACUCUGAUCUUGGACUUCUAGCCUCCAAAACUGUGAAAAAUAAAUUUCUG
RNAcentral lists this long non-coding RNA (938 nucleotides) under Homo sapiens (human). Its description in RNAcentral is "HSALNT0381417". The record is from RNAcentral. Lineage: Eukaryota; Metazoa; Chordata; Mammalia; Primates; Hominidae.